This 1240-nucleotide ribosomal RNA is filed under the name Cutibacterium acnes. RNAcentral's name for it is "bacterial SSU rRNA". It matches the Rfam family "Bacterial small subunit ribosomal RNA", at positions 83 to 1334 of the family's 1533-position model. The record is from RNAcentral. Lineage: Bacteria; Bacillati; Actinomycetota; Actinomycetes; Propionibacteriales; Propionibacteriaceae.
UGGGGUGCUCGAGUGGCGAACGGGUGAGUAACACGUGAGUAACCUGCCCUUGACUUUGGGAUAACUUCAGGAAACUGGGGCUAAUACCGGAUAGGAGCUCCUGCUGCAUGGUGGGGGUUGGAAAGUUUCGGCGGUUGGGGAUGGACUCGCGGCUUAUCAGCUUGUUGGUGGGGUAGUGGCUUACCAAGGCUUUGACGGGUAGCCGGCCUGAGAGGGUGACCGGCCACAUUGGGACUGAGAUACGGCCCAGACUCCUACGGGAGGCAGCAGUGGGGAAUAUUGCACAAUGGGCGGAAGCCUGAUGCAGCAACGCCGCGUGCGGGAUGACGGCCUUCGGGUUGUAAACCGCUUUCGCCUGUGACGAAGCGUGAGUGACGGUAAUGGGUAAAGAAGCACCGGCUAACUACGUGCCAGCAGCCGCGGUGAUACGUAGGGUGCGAGCGUUGUCCGGAUUUAUUGGGCGUAAAGGGCUCGUAGGUGGUUGAUCGCGUCGGAAGUGUAAUCUUGGGGCUUAACCNNGAGCGUGCUUUCGAUACGGGUUGACUUGAGGAAGGUAGGGGAGAAUGGAAUUCCUGGUGGAGCGGUGGAAUGCGCAGAUAUCAGGAGGAACACCAGUGGCGAAGGCGGUUCUCUGGGCCUUUCCUGACGCUGAGGAGCGAAAGCGUGGGGAGCGAACAGGCUUAGAUACCCUGGUAGUCCACGCUGUAAACGGUGGGUACUAGGUGUGGGGUCCAUUCCACGGGUUCCGUGCCGUAGCUAACGCUUUAAGUACCCCGCCUGGGGAGUACGGCCGCAAGGCUAAAACUCAAAGGAAUUGACGGGGCCCCGCACAAGCGGCGGAGCAUGCGGAUUAAUUCGAUGCAACGCGUAGAACCUUACCUGGGUUUGACAUGGAUCGGGAGUGCUCAGAGAUGGGUGUGCCUCUUUUGGGGUCGGUUCACAGGUGGUGCAUGGCUGUCGUCAGCUCGUGUCGUGAGAUGUUGGGUUAAGUCCCGCAACGAGCGCAACCCUUGUUCACUGUUGCCAGCACGUUAUGGUGGGGACUCAGUGGAGACCGCCGGGGUCAACUCGGAGGAAGGUGGGGAUGACGUCAAGUCAUCAUGCCCCUUAUGUCCAGGGCUUCACGCAUGCUACAAUGGCUGGUACAGAGAGUGGCGAGCCUGUGAGGGUGAGCGAAUCUCGGAAAGCCGGUCUCAGUUCGGAUUGGGGUCUGCAACUCGACCUCAUGAAGUCGGAGUCG